This 876-nucleotide long non-coding RNA is filed under the name Prunus dulcis (almond). RNAcentral's name for it is "sRNA ncRNA". Lineage: Eukaryota; Viridiplantae; Streptophyta; Magnoliopsida; Rosales; Rosaceae. The record is from RNAcentral.
CUUUUAGCUGUCCUUCAAAUAUAAAAUUCUGAGUCCCCAAAUCAAACAAAAAGGGUUUUAUACACUAAAAAAUGGUGUAUAUAUGAUUUUAGUAAAAUUUAUAUAUAUGGCUUUAUUUCAGAGAAAAGUAAAGAAGAAAUUUCUGGCUUCCUUGGACAGAUUAUUGAGAAAUGAGAGAACAAGUCCAACACCAUGAAAAAUAUGGCAAAAAUUUUCUGCCUCUGCUCAUGGGCAAAUUACUAUUGAGAAAUGAAAACAAAUUAAUCUAAUACACCAUGUCGUAAAAGAUGGCAGAGGUACAGCAAAGAGACAUGACAUAUAUAUAAUAUAUAUGAAAAACCAACUUUGUUCAUGAUCAAUAGCUCUGCACCAUAGCUUUACAAGAACCCCAGUUCCCAUCACUAGAGGAGCCUCUUUCUUCCUUCUGCCAUUGCCAAUCGUCAUCUAAUAUCUUCUCAAGCUCUCGUGGCUGGCAAGGAAUGGUGAGUGCGCCUUCAUGAUCAAAACCAUACUCCUCAGCUGCUUGCUCCAAUAGCUUCAAGAAAGUUGGGUGUGUUAAGUAACUCAAGGCCACCACAAAUCUCUUUGGUUCGUCUCCAUCCACAGCUAUCACAGCAAAGUGACCCUCCUUCACAUCUUCCGGCACACGUGUUGAGUCAUCGGAAUAAUUUGAUGGUUUUGAUCCCAAAUAUAGACUUCUUUGUAGCUUUUCUACUACAACUUUGAGCUCGACAAUGCUAUUCUUCUUCUUGCAAGCACUACUAGUUCUAGACUUUUCCAUGUUUGUGUUUGUGCUUAAUUUUUCUUUGGUCUAGAGACUUUUUCUUUUUCUUUUUUCUUGUUUUUUUGGGUAGCCUUUGGUCUAGAGACUUAGCU